AUUGAACGCUGGCGGCAGGCUUAACACAUGCAAGUCGAGCGAGCGGCGGACGGGUGAGUAAUGUCUGGGAAACUGCCUGAUGGAGGGGGAUAACUACUGGAAACGGUAGCUAAUACCGCAUACCCUCAGAUGUGCCCAGAUGGGAUUAGCUAGUAGGUGGGGUAAUGGCUCACCUAGGCGACGAUCCCUAGCUGGUCUGAGAGGAUGACCAGCAAAACUGGAACUGGGACACGGUCCAGACUCCUACGGGAGGCAGCAGUGGGGAAUAUUGCACAAUGGGGGCAAGCCUGAUGCAGCCAUGCCGCGUGGGUGAAGAAGGCCUUCGGGUUGUAAAGUACUUUCAGCGAGGAGGCGUUACCCGCAGAAGAAGCAACGGCUAACUCCGUGCCAGCAGCCGCGGUAAUUC
RNAcentral lists this ribosomal RNA (406 nucleotides) under uncultured bacterium. Its description in RNAcentral is "partial 16S ribosomal RNA". It matches the Rfam family "Bacterial small subunit ribosomal RNA", at positions 30 to 526 of the family's 1533-position model. The record is from RNAcentral.